This 304-nucleotide unclassified non-coding RNA is filed under the name Hevea brasiliensis (rubber tree). The record is from RNAcentral. Lineage: Eukaryota; Viridiplantae; Streptophyta; Magnoliopsida; Malpighiales; Euphorbiaceae.
AUACUUUCUUCUAUGACUGAGAAAUCCCAAGUCCAAACAACAUUAACAGUACUCUAAAACAGCACUUGCUAUAAUUUGAAAGUACAUAUCGGAACACAACAAAAUUGCAAUCUUUCAAUAUCAGGAAGACGAAAGCACUCUUAAAGCUUGGAAAUAACAAAAUAGAAUGUAGCAGGAGACAGGUAGCAAGAUGUAAUUGACUUGCAUCAUGCUGUUUAAUACUGACUAUUCAUCUAUGCUUCGGAAACUUGAACAUCCCUCACUUCAAUUUUAAGAGGGAUGUCCAAGUUUCCGAAGCAUAGAU